Molecule: unclassified non-coding RNA, 575 nt
Filed under: Hevea brasiliensis (rubber tree)
Lineage: Eukaryota; Viridiplantae; Streptophyta; Magnoliopsida; Malpighiales; Euphorbiaceae
Source: RNAcentral
UUCUCAACCUUUGCCAUGUUUUCUGCAUGCAGAACAAAUGGGAAGAAAGAUCAAAGAAAAGAUUAUGUACAUCCUCUCAGAUGAAAGAAACAUAAAAUAGAAAAGUUCCAAAAUAAACUAAAAACUUUCCCUUGAAGAUUGGUAGGGUGAAGAGAGAGAUGAGAAAUAUAUAUAACUCCAUUUUCAUCUCCAUCAUGAUAAGAGAAACAGAGACCACAAAGGCUGCCUUUCUUUUAAUACAAAUAUCAUGAGAAAGAAGAAACUUCACAAAUUCAACCACAUCCCAACCACAACUCCCUUUGUCUACUGUGUUGGAAACACAAUACACAUUUCAUAACAUUUAACCAUAUAUGAUGAAUAUCCUAAGCAAAGACAAAACUAGAAUUGGUUUACUUCUCAGAUCUCAUUAUAAGCAUCCAGCAAAAUCCAGGAACAUAUAUAUCUAUCAUAAUUGGAAUGGUGCUCUGGCAUUGAAUUCCAUGCUCAGGGGGGCUGCCAUGCAUUCAACAUUUAAAAGAUGGCAUUAGAAGUUAGAAUAGAAACCACAACCCAGUUAUGCUGUUCCAUAUCUUUUG